ACCUGGCUGGCCCAAUCAGUGGAGCAUGAGACUCUUGAUCUCGAGGUUGUGAGUUCAAGCCCCAUGCUGGAUG
This 73-nucleotide transfer RNA is filed under the name Ailuropoda melanoleuca (giant panda). It matches the Rfam family "tRNA". From Rfam's summary of the family: Transfer RNA (tRNA) molecules are approximately 80 nucleotides in length. Their secondary structure includes four short double-helical elements and three loops (D, anti-codon, and T loops). Further hydrogen bonds mediate the characteristic L-shaped molecular structure. tRNAs have two regions of fundamental functional importance: the anti-codon, which is responsible for specific mRNA codon recognition, and the 3' end, to which the tRNAs corresponding amino acid is attached (by aminoacyl-tRNA synthetases). tRNAs cope with the degeneracy of the genetic code in two manners: having more than one tRNA (with a specific anti-codon) for a particular amino acid; and 'wobble' base-pairing, i.e. permitting non-standard base-pairing at the 3rd anti-codon position. Lineage: Eukaryota; Metazoa; Chordata; Mammalia; Carnivora; Ursidae. The record is from Rfam by way of RNAcentral.